This 339-nucleotide unclassified non-coding RNA is filed under the name Hevea brasiliensis (rubber tree). The record is from RNAcentral. Lineage: Eukaryota; Viridiplantae; Streptophyta; Magnoliopsida; Malpighiales; Euphorbiaceae.
CGGAAAUCUUAUCAGAAAGUAAAAAAAAAAUGAUUUUCUCCUUCCUCGCCGGCGCCGGAAACGGCCACCAAAUUCGGCGAGGCUGGUCUCAUCUGAAAGAGCUCUCUAUCAGGAGUCCAUAGCCACUGAAAUCACUUUGAUCGGAAGUCAGGAUUGCCUGAUACGAGUGUUCAAAGUUUGGGACUCAAUUUUCUCUCUCCUGCUUUACUGCAACUAUGGUUGCCGCUGGAGGCUCGCCGGACAUUGGUUGGAGGUCGUCGGUGGUUGCUGGUGCUGCCUAGGGUGUUGCCAGCCGGUGGGAGCGGUCGCCAGAGCAAGAAAAGGGAGAGAGAGAGAGAG